GACAGGGGGCUCGAGCGUUAAUCGGAAUCAUUGGGCUUAAAGGGUGCGUAGGCGGGUUGCUAAGUGUUCUGUGAAAUCCCCCGGCUCAACCGGGGAAUCGCAGGGCAUACUGGCAGCCUUGAGGCAUGUAGGGGCGGACGGAACUGUAGGUGGAGCGGUGAAAUGCGUAGAUAUCUACAGGAACGCCGAUGGUGAAGACGGUCCGCUGGGCAUGUCCUGACGCUGAGGCGCGAAAGCGUGGGGAGCGAACAGG
Molecule: ribosomal RNA, 253 nt
Filed under: uncultured bacterium
Lineage: Bacteria
Description: partial 16S ribosomal RNA
Rfam family: Bacterial small subunit ribosomal RNA
Source: RNAcentral